RNAcentral lists this long non-coding RNA (600 nucleotides) under Ananas comosus (pineapple). RNAcentral describes it as "long non-coding RNA (ACOM_LNC013014)". The record is from RNAcentral. Lineage: Eukaryota; Viridiplantae; Streptophyta; Magnoliopsida; Poales; Bromeliaceae.
AAAAAUUAUGUUGUUUACAAAAUUAUCCCUAUAUUUAGCAUCUAUUCGAAAAUAAAGAUUAAUCAUAGAUUAAAUAUUUAAUGAUAAUUAGUUUAGAGAAAAAAUAAUCUUUUUUAUCCUUAUAAUUGUAGCCAGGGUAAACUUCAAAUACCACUUUUAUAAUUUUCGCACUUUUUCACUUUAAUACCCCAUAAUUUAAUGUGUAUCACUUUAGUACCCUACAGUUUUAUUUUUAUUUUUUUCUGCCAGUACUUCCGUUAACUCUUCGUUAAAUUAUAUACAAAAAACUUCAGAUAUCCUAUCUAUAGUUUAUUAAAUAUUCACUUUAAUAUUUUGUGGUUUAUCGAAUUUUUACUUUAGUACCAUGUGGUUUUAACUCUUUCACUGAUAUAACGAAAAAAUUAACGAAGAGGAUAACGGAAGGAGAAAAAUGAAACCAUAGAAUACUAAAGUGAUACAUUUUAAAUUAUAUGAUACCAAAAUAAAAAAGUGCAAAACUACGGGGAUAAUAUUUGAAGUUUUUUUAAAAUUUUAGAAGGCCAAAUUUGAAAAGAGGAUUUUUUUUUUAUAGGUAUGAUAUUAUCUUUUUUUUAAUUAAAU